Molecule: long non-coding RNA, 314 nt
Filed under: Capsicum annuum
Lineage: Eukaryota; Viridiplantae; Streptophyta; Magnoliopsida; Solanales; Solanaceae
Description: long non-coding RNA (CANN_LNC017373)
Source: RNAcentral
AAAAUGAACAAAGAAGAAUUUAUAAUAGAUGAAAAAAUAUAUGAAAACCACGAAGGAUCAAAAAUAAAAAUAGUAUUUUCUAAUCUAGGAAUAAGAUAUAAGAAAAUAGGUGAACAUUUAUAUCUAAUGUUAGAAAAAGAAGAACUAAAAUUAGAAGAUAAAUUAACAGCAACGAUAAGAAUAGAAAGAGAAAAUGAAGAGAUAGAUAGGAAAAAAGAAAUAGAAAAAAUAAAACAACAAACUACGGAAGAAAUACGAAAAAUAGAAGAAACUAAAAAUAGUAGGAUUGCUGAAUUAGAAAAAGAACUACAAAU